GGUCUGUCGCGGUGCCUGAAGCUGUCCCCGAGCCACGCUUCCUGCUUUCCCGGGCUUGCUGCUUGCGUGUGCUUGCUGUGGGCAGCUU
Molecule: microRNA precursor, 88 nt
Filed under: Mus musculus (house mouse)
Lineage: Eukaryota; Metazoa; Chordata; Mammalia; Rodentia; Muridae
Description: microRNA mmu-mir-696 precursor
Gene: mmu-mir-696
Source: miRBase by way of RNAcentral